This 310-nucleotide ribosomal RNA is filed under the name Vibrio parahaemolyticus M0605. RNAcentral describes it as "bacterial SSU rRNA". It matches the Rfam family "Bacterial small subunit ribosomal RNA", at positions 1 to 296 of the family's 1533-position model. Lineage: Bacteria; Pseudomonadati; Pseudomonadota; Gammaproteobacteria; Vibrionales; Vibrionaceae. The record is from RNAcentral.
AAAUUGAAGAGUUUGAUCAUGGCUCAGAUUGAACGCUGGCGGCAGGCCUAACACAUGCAAGUCGAGCGGAAACGAGUUAUCAGAACCUUCGGGGGACGAUAACGGCGUCGAGCGGCGGACGGGUGAGUAAUGCCUAGGAAAUUGCCCUGAUGUGGGGGAUAACCAUUGGAAACGAUGGCUAAUACCGCAUGAUGCCUACGGGCCAAAGAGGGGGACCUUCGGGCCUCUCGCGUCAGGAUAUGCCUAGGUGGGAUUAGCUAGUUGGUGAGGUAAGGGCUCACCAAGNCGACGNAUCCCUAGCUGGUCUGAG